UGUAACUGGGGCAAUUAAGACAGUUUCAUGUUGCAGAGUUAGAAAUUGACCCCAACAACAUGAAACUACCUAAACCACUCGACAGUCGAU
RNAcentral lists this microRNA precursor (90 nucleotides) under Xyrichtys novacula (pearly razorfish). The record is from RNAcentral. Lineage: Eukaryota; Metazoa; Chordata; Actinopteri; Labriformes; Labridae.